AUGAGCUAUCCUGCUGCACUACUCACGGUUCUCCAACAGCAGCCACAAGUACUAGUACCACUAUCAAUUAACUACAGGAAGCCAGCUUACUGCUUAGACAGGGACGGCACAGCCGCAACAAGCAAUUUUCCGGUGACAGAACCAAAUCCACUUCUCAGCACGGAUCUUCAAGGUGCAUCAUACUACGUUACAAACUCAACGAGAUGGGGUGUUAGCAACAUCGGGAAAUUCGUGGAUUCCCCCAAUGGGAGUUACAUAAUAGACACUUCUCGCCUGUUUACCGACGCACUUGAUUCUGAACUAUUUGAGACAUCCAGAAUGGCACCCUCUUCAUUGAGAUACUACGUUGUACUUCAAUUUGCGGAGAUCUUUUUCCCAGAUGACCAGACAUGGACAAGCGUGGGAAAGAGGAUUUUCAAUAUAUAUAUCCAGGUAGCAACGGUGAAGAGGAUCCUGGUCCACAGAAAAACAGCACUACCAAUAACACAGAAAAUGUAA
This 498-nucleotide ribosomal RNA is filed under the name Triticum aestivum (bread wheat). RNAcentral describes it as "partial small subunit ribosomal RNA". Lineage: Eukaryota; Viridiplantae; Streptophyta; Magnoliopsida; Poales; Poaceae. The record is from RNAcentral.